GCUCAACCGGGGAGGGUCAUUGGAAACUGGGGAACUUGAGUGCAGAAGAGGAGAGUGGAAUUCCACGUGUAGCGGUGAAAUGCGUAGAGAUGUGGAGGAACACCAGUGGCGAAGGCGACUCUCUGGUCUGUAACUGACGCUGAGGCGCGAAAGCGUGGGGAGCGAACAGGAUUAGAUACCCUGGUAGUCCACGCCGUAAACGAUGAGUGCUAAGUGUUAGAGGGUUUCCGCCCUUUAGUGCUGCAGCAAACGCAUUAAGCACUCCGCCUGGGGAGUACGGUCGCAAGACUGAAACUCAAAGGAAUUGACGGGGGCCCGCACAAGCGGUGGAGCAUGUGGUUUAAUUCGAAGCAACGCGAAGAACCUUACCAGGUCUUGACAUCCUCUGACAACCCUAGAGAUAGGGCUUCCCCUUCGGGGGCAGAGUGACAGGUGGUGCAUGGUUGUCGUCAGCUCGUGUCAUGAGAUGUUGGGUUAAGUCCCGCAACGAGCGCAACCCUUGAUCUUAGUUGCCAGCAUUCAGUUGGGCACUCUAAGGUGACUGCCGGUGACAAACCGGAGGAAGGUGGGGAUGACGUCAAAUCAUCAUGCCCCUUAUGACCUGUGCUACACACGUGCUACAAUGGGCAGAACAAAG
Molecule: ribosomal RNA, 637 nt
Filed under: uncultured bacterium
Lineage: Bacteria
Description: bacterial SSU rRNA
Rfam family: Bacterial small subunit ribosomal RNA
Source: RNAcentral